AAAUAAAAAAACAGGCAUAAUUGCAGAAUUAUGUAGGCUCUCCAGAUGGCAGAACUUAUUACAAUCCAAAUCUAUCCUAAAUUGGAAUGAGAACAGGCAGGUGCUGUUCCUUACCUCACCAACAAACAAGGGCUGAAGCUAACUUGGCCUUGGUGCACUAAACACAGCAAAGACAUGGAUGCCUACCUUUGCACGGAAUAUUCAGUACACCCAAAUCGAAGUACAUCAAAACAGUGCCUUAUGCUGUCAUUGUUUUCUAGGUAGGGACGAACAUCAGGCAAAUUCUCACUCCAUUAUGAAUUUCCUUGCGCUCUUAUACCUGUUUUUUACAUUAUUAGACAGGAUGAAGUGUUGCAUCAGUAAACAUACAGUUUGAAGGGAUUCAUUUAAUAUGCUUUUGGCCGCUAUUCACAUCCAUGCAUAUGUACGAUUAUGUGAAAGCACAAUUUGAAACAAUUCAUUCCAUAC
Magnolia sinica is the source of this 468-nucleotide long non-coding RNA. RefSeq lists it as uncharacterized. The transcript has 2 exons. The record is from RefSeq and is a predicted model, not a curated record. NCBI's taxonomy places the organism in Eukaryota, Viridiplantae, Streptophyta, Magnoliopsida, Magnoliales, Magnoliaceae.